Molecule: ribosomal RNA, 2929 nt
Filed under: Escherichia coli
Lineage: Bacteria; Pseudomonadati; Pseudomonadota; Gammaproteobacteria; Enterobacterales; Enterobacteriaceae
Description: 23S ribosomal RNA
Rfam family: Bacterial large subunit ribosomal RNA
Source: RNAcentral
GGGUUGUGAGGUUAAGCGACUAAGCGUACACGGUGGAUGCCCUGGCAGUCAGAGGCGAUGAAGGACGUGCUAAUCUGCGAUAAGCGUCGGUAAGGUGAUAUGAACCGUUAUAACCGGCGAUUUCCGAAUGGGGAAACCCAGUGUGUUUCGACACACUAUCAUUAACUGAAUCCAUAGGUUAAUGAGGCGAACCGGGGGAACUGAAACAUCUAAGUACCCCGAGGAAAAGAAAUCAACCGAGAUUCCCCCAGUAGCGGCGAGCGAACGGGGAGCAGCCCAGAGCCUGAAUCAGUGUGUGUGUUAGUGGAAGCGUCUGGAAAGGCGCGCGAUACAGGGUGACAGCCCCGUACACAAAAAUGCACAUGCUGUGAGCUCGAUGAGUAGGGCGGGACACGUGGUAUCCUGUCUGAAUAUGGGGGGACCAUCCUCCAAGGCUAAAUACUCCUGACUGACCGAUAGUGAACCAGUACCGUGAGGGAAAGGCGAAAAGAACCCCGGCGAGGGGAGUGAAAAAGAACCUGAAACCGUGUACGUACAAGCAGUGGGAGCACGCUUAGGCGUGUGACUGCGUACCUUUUGUAUAAUGGGUCAGCGACUUAUAUUCUGUAGCAAGGUUAACCGAAUAGGGGAGCCGAAGGGAAACCGAGUCUUAACUGGGCGUUAAGUUGCAGGGUAUAGACCCGAAACCCGGUGAUCUAGCCAUGGGCAGGUUGAAGGUUGGGUAACACUAACUGGAGGACCGAACCGACUAAUGUUGAAAAAUUAGCGGAUGACUUGUGGCUGGGGGUGAAAGGCCAAUCAAACCGGGAGAUAGCUGGUUCUCCCCGAAAGCUAUUUAGGUAGCGCCUCGUGAAUUCAUCUCCGGGGGUAGAGCACUGUUUCGGCAAGGGGGUCAUCCCGACUUACCAACCCGAUGCAAACUGCGAAUACCGGAGAAUGUUAUCACGGGAGACACACGGCGGGUGCUAACGUCCGUCGUGAAGAGGGAAACAACCCAGACCGCCAGCUAAGGUCCCAAAGUCAUGGUUAAGUGGGAAACGAUGUGGGAAGGCCCAGACAGCCAGGAUGUUGGCUUAGAAGCAGCCAUCAUUUAAAGAAAGCGUAAUAGCUCACUGGUCGAGUCGGCCUGCGCGGAAGAUGUAACGGGGCUAAACCAUGCACCGAAGCUGCGGCAGCGACACUAUGUGUUGUUGGGUAGGGGAGCGUUCUGUAAGCCUGUGAAGGUGUACUGUGAGGUAUGCUGGAGGUAUCAGAAGUGCGAAUGCUGACAUAAGUAACGAUAAAGCGGGUGAAAAGCCCGCUCGCCGGAAGACCAAGGGUUCCUGUCCAACGUUAAUCGGGGCAGGGUGAGUCGACCCCUAAGGCGAGGCCGAAAGGCGUAGUCGAUGGGAAACAGGUUAAUAUUCCUGUACUUGGUGUUACUGCGAAGGGGGGACGGAGAAGGCUAUGUUGGCCGGGCGACGGUUGUCCCGGUUUAAGCGUGUAGGCUGGUUUUCCAGGCAAAUCCGGAAAAUCAAGGCUGAGGCGUGAUGACGAGGCACUACGGUGCUGAAGCAACAAAUGCCCUGCUUCCAGGAAAAGCCUCUAAGCAUCAGGUAACAUCAAAUCGUACCCCAAACCGACACAGGUGGUCAGGUAGAGAAUACCAAGGCGCUUGAGAGAACUCGGGUGAAGGAACUAGGCAAAAUGGUGCCGUAACUUCGGGAGAAGGCACGCUGAUAUGUAGGUGAAGUCCCUCGCGGAUGGAGCUGAAAUCAGUCGAAGAUACCAGCUGGCUGCAACUGUUUAUUAAAAACACAGCACUGUGCAAACACGAAAGUGGACGUAUACGGUGUGACGCCUGCCCGGUGCCGGAAGGUUAAUUGAUGGGGUUAGCGCAAGCGAAGCUCUUGAUCGAAGCCCCGGUAAACGGCGGCCGUAACUAUAACGGUCCUAAGGUAGCGAAAUUCCUUGUCGGGUAAGUUCCGACCUGCACGAAUGGCGUAAUGAUGGCCAGGCUGUCUCCACCCGAGACUCAGUGAAAUUGAACUCGCUGUGAAGAUGCAGUGUACCCGCGGCAAGACGGAAAGACCCCGUGAACCUUUACUAUAGCUUGACACUGAACAUUGAGCCUUGAUGUGUAGGAUAGGUGGGAGGCUUUGAAGUGUGGACGCCAGUCUGCAUGGAGCCGACCUUGAAAUACCACCCUUUAAUGUUUGAUGUUCUAACGUUGACCCGUGAUCCGGGUUGCGGACAGUGUCUGGUGGGUAGUUUGACUGGGGCGGUCUCCUCCUAAAGAGUAACGGAGGAGCACGAAGGUUGGCUAAUCCUGGUCGGACAUCAGGAGGUUAGUGCAAUGGCAUAAGCCAGCUUGACUGCGAGCGUGACGGCGCGAGCAGGUGCGAAAGCAGGUCAUAGUGAUCCGGUGGUUCUGAAUGGAAGGGCCAUCGCUCAACGGAUAAAAGGUACUCCGGGGAUAACAGGCUGAUACCGCCCAAGAGUUCAUAUCGACGGCGGUGUUUGGCACCUCGAUGUCGGCUCAUCACAUCCUGGGGCUGAAGUAGGUCCCAAGGGUAUGGCUGUUCGCCAUUUAAAGUGGUACGCGAGCUGGGUUUAGAACGUCGUGAGACAGUUCGGUCCCUAUCUGCCGUGGGCGCUGGAGAACUGAGGGGGGCUGCUCCUAGUACGAGAGGACCGGAGUGGACGCAUCACUGGUGUUCGGGUUGUCAUGCCAAUGGCACUGCCCGGUAGCUAAAUGCGGAAGAGAUAAGUGCUGAAAGCAUCUAAGCACGAAACUUGCCCCGAGAUGAGUUCUCCCUGACUCCUUGAGAGUCCUGAAGGAACGUUGAAGACGACGACGUUGAUAGGCCGGGUGUGUAAGCGCAGCGAUGCGUUGAGCUAACCGGUACUAAUGAACCGUGAGGCUUAACCUUACAACGCCGAAGCUGUU